AUUCGAACCCUCGGUACAAAUAACUCGUACAACGGAUUAGCAAUUUGCCGCUUUAGUCCACUCAGCCAUCUCUC
This 74-nucleotide transfer RNA is filed under the name Polygonatum cyrtonema. RNAcentral's name for it is "partial tRNA-Ser". The record is from RNAcentral. Lineage: Eukaryota; Viridiplantae; Streptophyta; Magnoliopsida; Asparagales; Asparagaceae.